AAAGAGCUAGUGUGGGGCCACUGGCACAAACAAGGCAGCUCCUUAGAACCUGAACUUCCUAUUUGUUCCAUUCCUUGGGUAGAUAACGCCUGUUAAUUACUCUGGAGGUAACUAUUAUUUUCCCCC
This is a long non-coding RNA of Herpailurus yagouaroundi (jaguarundi), 126 nucleotides long. RefSeq lists it as uncharacterized. The record is from RefSeq and is a predicted model, not a curated record. Lineage: Eukaryota; Metazoa; Chordata; Mammalia; Carnivora; Felidae. The transcript is spliced from 3 exons.